UUUCUCUCGUAGCUGACUGAGCCGCGUCCCUCCGCGUCUUCUAUCACACACACCUGACUCGCGCACACACACGCGCGCAUAGAAACCGUGAAGCCACGACAAGGAUGGACUCGGAGCAGCCCAAGAAGGUCCCAAGGACGGAGACCAAGACGAAGGAGCUGCUGCGUACCACCGUCGCCGACGGCCCCUUCAGCCUCCUAGACACUGCCAUGAAGGAGAAAAAGCGGGUCUUCAUCCAGUGUCGCAACAGCAAGGCGCUUCUGGCACACGUGAUCGCCUUUGACAAGCACUUCAAUCUCGUGCUGAAGGGCGUCCAGGAGAUCACUGAAAGCCACGGCUCCGAGCAGAAGCAGCGCACCAUCGAAAACCUCUUUUUGCGCGGCGAGUCGGUAAUUUUUAUCGUGAAACUGCCCUAGGUCAGCUCCACUGCACCGAGGAGGCGUACAAGACCGCAUCGGUAGGAGCAAGGCAAGUACUCGCCUUCGUCGCACUGCCUUCGUUCUCCCAGCCGUGUAUCGGUCGUAACCUUUUGUUUCCCUCUUUCAGCAUUUUCUACUGGCGCUCUGGACUGUGCGCUUCAGCACGGUAUCCGCCAACGAAGGGGUUUGCAUCGACUUUGGUGGAGGACGUGGCAUGGACGCCCGGCGCCGUGAUGUGUUUGGUUGAUGUGACGAAAUGCGUUUGCUUGUUGGCGUGUGCUACCUGCCAAGCAUUUGGAGGGCGCCGGCGAGAGCUUUUUGUGUGGCGGUCGCUGAUGUGCUUGCAUGUACAUAGAUGUGCAUGUGCACUUGUGUUCAUGUGUGUAGGUAUGCGUUUGUGUGUGUGUGUGUGGAUGAGAACCGUGCUAGCCGCACCUUAAAC
This 861-nucleotide unclassified non-coding RNA is filed under the name Leishmania donovani. RNAcentral's name for it is "gene:LdHU3.33.4820(CDS-product:small_nuclear_ribo nucleoprotein_SmD2)". Lineage: Eukaryota; Euglenozoa; Kinetoplastea; Trypanosomatida; Trypanosomatidae. The record is from RNAcentral.